Molecule: ribosomal RNA, 496 nt
Filed under: uncultured bacterium
Lineage: Bacteria
Description: partial 16S ribosomal RNA
Rfam family: Bacterial small subunit ribosomal RNA
Source: RNAcentral
AUGAACGCUGGCGGCGUGCCUCAUCCCUGCCAGUCGAGCGAACGGACGAGAAGCUUGCUUCUCUGAUGUUAGCGGCGGACGGGUGAGUAACACGUGGAUAACCUACCUAUAAGACUGGGAUAACUUCGGGAAACCGGAGCUAAUACCGGAUAAUAUUUUGAACCGCAUGGUUCAAAAGUGAAAGACGGUCUUGCUGUCACUUAUAGAUGGAUCCGCGCUGCAUUAGCUAGUUGGUAAGGUAACGGCUUACCAAGGCAACGAUGCAUAGCCGACCUGAGAGGGUGAUCGGCCACACUGGAACUGGGACACGGUCCAGACUCCUACGGGAGGCAGCAGUAGGGAAUCUUCCGCAAUGGGCGAAAGCCUGACGGAGAAACGCCGCGUGAGUGAUGAAGGUCUUCGGAUCGUAAAACUCUGUUAUUAGGGAAGAACAUAUGUGUAAGUAACUGUGCACAUCUUGACGGUACCUAAUCAGAAAGCCACGGCUAACUACGUG